GAUGAACGCUGGCGGCGUGCUUAACACAUGCAAGUCGAACGGAAAGGCCCUUGCUUGCAGGGGUACUCGAGUGGCGAACGGGUGAGUAACACGUGGGUGAUCUGCCCUGCACUUCGGGAUAAGCCUGGGAAACUGGGUCUAAUACCGGAUAGGACCAUCGUUUAGUGUCGGUGGUGGAAAGUUUUUUCGGUGUGGGAUGAGCUCGCGGCCUAUCAGCUUGUUGGUGGGGUAAUGGCCUACCAAGGCGUCGACGGGUAGCCGGCCUGAGAGGGUGUACGGCCACAUUGGGACUGAGAUACGGCCCAGACUCCUACGGGAGGCAGCAGUGGGGAAUAUUGCACAAUGGGCGCAAGCCUGAUGCAGCGACGCCGCGUGGGGGAUGACGGCCUUCGGGUUGUAAACUCCUUUCGUCAGGGACGAAGCGAAAGUGACGGUACCUGGAUAAGAAGCACCGGCUAACUACGUG
Molecule: ribosomal RNA, 466 nt
Filed under: uncultured bacterium
Lineage: Bacteria
Description: partial 16S ribosomal RNA
Rfam family: Bacterial small subunit ribosomal RNA
Source: RNAcentral